RNAcentral lists this ribosomal RNA (419 nucleotides) under uncultured bacterium. RNAcentral's name for it is "bacterial SSU rRNA". It matches the Rfam family "Bacterial small subunit ribosomal RNA", at positions 355 to 787 of the family's 1533-position model. The record is from RNAcentral.
UGGGGAAUAUUGGGCAAUGGGGGAAACCCUGACCCAGCAACGCCGCGUGAGGGAAGAAGGUUUUCGGAUUGUAAACCUCUGUCCUAAGGGAAGAAGGAAGUGACGGUACCUUAGGAGGAAGCCCCGGCUAACUACGUGCCAGCAGCCGCGGUAAUACGUAGGGGGCGAGCGUUGUCCGGAAUUAUUGGGCGUAAAGGGGUGCGUAGGCGGCGAAGCAAGUCAGAUGUGAAAUACCACGGCUUAACUGUGGGGGUGCAUUUGAAACUGUUUUGCUAGAGUGCAGGAGAGGGAAGCGGAAUUCCUAGUGUAGCGGUGAAAUGCAUAGAUAUUAGGAGGAACACCAGUGGCGAAGGCGGCUUUCUGGACUGUAACUGACGCUGAGGCACGAAAGCGUGGGGAGCAAACAGGAUUAGAUACCC